This 528-nucleotide long non-coding RNA is filed under the name Citrus sinensis (sweet orange). Its description in RNAcentral is "long non-coding RNA (CSIN_LNC003934)". The record is from RNAcentral. Lineage: Eukaryota; Viridiplantae; Streptophyta; Magnoliopsida; Sapindales; Rutaceae.
CUGAGUUUUGAGCUGGCACCCAGUCAACUUUAUAACUGGAAACCAAGACACUUUUUUUUUUUUUGGGAGCAAAUUACAUAUUUCCUAAGAGUAAUAACAGCACAUAUACAUUUGAGGAUCCUGAAUCUGAGAAGGGUCUUAUUUUUCUAGAUAAUUGAGAUGGUUGAUUCUUGCAAAUCCAGUGUCUUCUCUCUUCUUCUUUUCCUACUGUUCUUUGCUGGAGGGCUAUCAGCUCCAGCCUCCAGAGGGAAAUUCAAGAUUGCUUUGCGACCCCUCAUCCGGAAGGCAGCAGAAUCAUAAGCUUUAGCAGCAUCAACAUCACUAUCAAAAGUUCCCAACCAAACCCUGCUGCCCUUUCUUGCCGGGUCCCGGAUUUCAGCCGCAUACUUGCCCCACGGCCUUCUUCUUACUCCCCUGUAAUGCUUCCUCUCUUCAGUGUCCGCCAGCUUCGGCUCCGAACUCUUUUGAGGUGAUUCUGUCCAAUUACUGGAACCCAAACACGUUAUGUCCAAUGGUUCAGGUUUUAUU